RNAcentral lists this ribosomal RNA (342 nucleotides) under uncultured Allobrachymonas sp. RNAcentral's name for it is "bacterial SSU rRNA". It matches the Rfam family "Bacterial small subunit ribosomal RNA", at positions 1036 to 1382 of the family's 1533-position model. Lineage: Bacteria; Pseudomonadati; Pseudomonadota; Betaproteobacteria; Burkholderiales; Comamonadaceae. The record is from RNAcentral.
AGGUAGCUGCAUGGCUGUCGUCAAGCUCGUGUCGUGAGAUGUUGGGUUAAGUCCCGCAACGAGCGCAACCCUUGCCAUUAGUUGCUACGAAAGGGCACUCUAAUGGGACUGCCGGUGACAAACCGGAGGAAGGUGGGGAUGACGUCAAGUCCUCAUGGCCCUUAUAGGUGGGGCUACACACGUCAUACAAUGGCCGGUACAGAGGGUAGCCAACCCGCGAGGGGGAGCCAAUCCCACAAAGCCGGUCGUAGUCCGGAUCGCAGUCUGCAACUCGACUGCGUGAAGUCGGAAUCGCUAGUAAUCGUGGAUCAGCAUGUCACGGUGAAUACGUUCCCGGGUCUU